This 253-nucleotide ribosomal RNA is filed under the name uncultured bacterium. RNAcentral describes it as "partial 16S ribosomal RNA". It matches the Rfam family "Bacterial small subunit ribosomal RNA", at positions 524 to 776 of the family's 1533-position model. The record is from RNAcentral.
GACGUAGGGCGCGAGCGUUGUCCGGAUUUAUUGGGCGUAAAGAGCUCGUAGGCGGUUUGUCGCGUCGUCUGUGAAAACCCACGGCUCAACUGUGGGCUUGCAGUCGAUACGGGCAGGCUAGAGUUCGGUAGGGGAGACUGGAAUUCCUGGUGUAGCGGUGAAAUGCGCAGAUAUCAGGAGGAACACCGGUGGCGAAGGCGGGUCUCUGGGCCGAUACUGACGCUGAGGAGCGAAAGCGUGGGGAGCAAACAGG